GCAUCACUGGCGCAAUGGUAGCGCGUAGCACUCCUAAUGCUGAGGUUGUGGGUUCGACUCCCGCGUGGUGUA
Fragilaria crotonensis is the source of this 72-nucleotide non-coding RNA. The record is from the annotation of a GenBank genome assembly. Lineage: Eukaryota; Bacillariophyta; Fragilariophyceae; Fragilariales; Fragilariaceae.